Molecule: ribosomal RNA, 502 nt
Filed under: uncultured bacterium
Lineage: Bacteria
Description: partial 16S ribosomal RNA
Rfam family: Bacterial small subunit ribosomal RNA
Source: RNAcentral
AUUGAACGCUGGCGGCAUGCCUUACACAUGCAAGUCGAACGGCAGCACGGGAGCUUGCUCCUGGUGGCGAGUGGCGAACGGGUGAGUAAUACAUCGGAACGUGCCCAGUCGUGGGGGAUAACGUAGCGAAAGUUACGCUAAUACCGCAUACGAUCUAAGGAUGAAAGCGGGGGACCGUAAGUACUCGCGCGAUUGGAGCGGCCGAUGUCAGAUUAGGUAGUUGGUGAGGUAAAGGCUCACCAAGCCGACGAUCUGUAGCUGGUCUGAGAGGACGACCAGCCACACUGGGACUGAGACACGGCCCAGACUCCUACGGGAGGCAGCAGUGGGGAAUUUUGGACAAUGGACGCAAGUCUGAUCCAGCCAUUCCGCGUGCAGGACGAAGGCCUUCGGGUUGUAAACUGCUUUUGUACGGAACGAAAAAGCUCUUACUAAUACUAGGAGUCCAUGACGGUACCGUAAGAAUAAGCACCGGCUAACUACGUGCCAGCCGCCGCCGUAA